RNAcentral lists this ribosomal RNA (1345 nucleotides) under uncultured bacterium. RNAcentral's name for it is "bacterial SSU rRNA". It matches the Rfam family "Bacterial small subunit ribosomal RNA", at positions 28 to 1381 of the family's 1533-position model. The record is from RNAcentral.
GAUGAACGCUAGCGGGAGGCCUAACACAUGCAAGCCGAGCGGUAUUGUUUCUUCGGAAAUGAGAGAGCGGCGUACGGGUGCGGAACACGUGUGCAACCUGCCUUUAUCUGGGGGAUAGCCUUUCGAAAGGAAGAUUAAUACUCCAUAAUAUAUUGAACGGCAUCGUUUAAUAUUGAAAGCUCCGGCGGAUAGAGAUGGGCACGCGCAAGAUUAGCUAGUUGGUGAGGUAACGGCUCACCAAGGCGAUGAUCUUUAGGGGGCCUGAGAGGGUGAUCCCCCACACUGGUACUGAGACACGGACCAGACUCCUACGGGAGGCAGCAGUGAGGAAUAUUGGUCAAUGGGUGCAAGCCUGAACCAGCCAUCCCGCGUGAAGGACGACUGCCCUAUGGGUUGUAAACUUCUUUUGUAUAGGGAUAAACCUACCCUCGUGAGGGUAGCUGAAGGUACUAUACGAAUAAGCACCGGCUAACUCCGUGCCAGCAGCCGCGGUAAUACGGAGGGUGCAAGCGUUAUCCGGAUUUAUUGGGUUUAAAGGGUCCGUAGGCGGACUUAUAAGUCAGUGGUGAAAGCCUGUCGCUUAACGAUAGAACUGCCAUUGAUACUGUAAGUCUUGAGUAUAUUUGAGGUAGCUGGAAUAAGUAGUGUAGCGGUGAAAUGCAUAGAUAUUACUUAGAACACCAAUUGCGAAGGCAGGUUACCAAGAUAUAACUGACGCUGAGGGACGAAAGCGUGGGGAGCGAACAGGAUUAGAUACCCUGGUAGUCCACGCCGUAAACGAUGCUAACUCGUUUUUGGGCUUUAGGGUUCAGAGACCAAGCGAAAGUGAUAAGUUAGCCACCUGGGGAGUACGCUCGCAAAAGUGAAACUCAAAGGAAUUGACGGGGGCCCGCACAAGCGGUGGAUUAUGUGGUUUAAUUCGAUGAUACGCGAGGAACCUUACCAAGACUUAAAUGGGAAUUGACAGCUUUAGAAAUAGAGCUUUCUUCGGACAAUUUUCAAGGUGCUGCAUGGUUGUCGUCAGCUCGUGCCGUGAGGUGUUAGGUUAAGUCCUGCAACGAGCGCAACCCCUGUCACUGGUUGCCAUCAUUCAGUUGGGGACUCUAGUGAGACUGCCUACGCAAGUAGAGAGGAAGGUGGGGAUGACGUCAAAUCAUCACGGCCCUUACGUCUUGGGCCACACACGUAAUACAAUGGCCGGUACAGAGGGCAGCUACACAGCGAUGUGAUGCAAAUCUCGAAAGCCGGUCUCAGUUCGGAUUGGAGUCUGCAACUCGACUCUAUGAAGCUGGAAUCGCUAGUAAUCGCGCAUCAGCCAUGGCGCGGUGAAUACGUUCCCGGGCCU